Molecule: unclassified non-coding RNA, 381 nt
Filed under: fungal sp.
Lineage: Eukaryota; Fungi
Description: partial internal transcribed spacer region
Rfam family: Eukaryotic small subunit ribosomal RNA (bases 1-46)
Source: RNAcentral
AAGUCGUAACAAGGUCUCCGUAGGUGAACCUGCGGAGGGAUCAUUAACACGUUUCCAACGUUACCAACCAAACGCGAACUUUAAUAAAAUUACCCCGACCUGAAAGAAAAGUAAUCGUUCAAAUUCUAUUAGUGAUGGGCUUUUUUUUCUUUUGCAAAAAGGAAAAAGAAGCGAUGGAAAUUGGACUUACAUAGCUCGACUAUGAAGAUUAUUUUUCUCUCAGGGUUUAUCAAUUCUUUUCAUCACUGGAAUAACAAAACAAAACCCCUUUCACCCCCUAUGAUAAUUGACUGAAAUACCAUUUGACUGGGAGAAAUCCUGUUAAAUGAUUAAACAAAAAACUUAAAAGCACAACUCUUAGCAACGGAUAUCUAGGUUCUC